GACGAACGCCGGCGGCGUGCUUAACACAUGCAAGUCGAACGGAAAGGCCCUGCUUUUGUGGGGUGCUCGAGUGGCGAACGGGUGAGUAACACGUGAGUAACCUGCCCUUGACUUUGGGAUAACUUCAGGAAACUGGGGCUAAUACCGGAUAGGAGCUCCUGCUGCAUGGUGGGGGUUGGAAAGUUUCGGCGGUUGGGGAUGGACUCGCGGCUUAUCAGCUUGUUGGUGGGGUAGUGGCUUACCAAGGCUUUGACGGGUAGCCGGCCUGAGAGGGUGACCGGCCACAUUGGGACUGAGAUACGGCCCAGACUCCUACGGGAGGCAGCAGUGGGGAAUAUUGCACAAUGGGCGGAAGCCUGAUGCAGCAACGCCGCGUGCGGGAUGACGGCCUUCGGGUUGUAAACCGCUUUCGCCUGUGACGAAGCGUGAGUGACGGUAAUGGGUAAAGAAGCACCGGCUAACUACGUGCCAGCAGCCGCGGUGAUACGUAGGGUGCGAGCGUUGUCCGGAUUUAUUGGGCGUAAAGGGCUCGUAGGUGGUUGAUCGCGUCGGAAGUGUAAUCUUGGGGCUUAACCCUGAGCGUGCUUUCGAUACGGGUUGACUUGAGGAAGGUAGGGGAGAAUGGAAUUCCUGGUGGAGCGGUGGAAUGCGCAGAUAUCAGGAGGAACACCAGUGGCGAAGGCGGUUCUCUGGGCCUUUCCUGACGCUGAGGAGCGAAAGCGUGGGGAGCGAACAGGCUUAGAUACCCUGGUAGUCCACGCUGUAAACGGUGGGUACUAGGUGUGGGGUCCAUUCCACGGGUUCCGUGCCGUAGCUAACGCUUUAAGUACCCCGCCUGGGGAGUACGGCCGCAAGGCUAAAACUCAAAGGAAUCGACGGGGCCCCGCACAAGCGGCGGAGCAUGCGGAUUAAUUCGAUGCAACGCGUAGAACCUUACCUGGGUUUGACAUGGAUCGGGAGUGCUCAGAGAUGGGUGUGCCUCUUUUGGGGUCGGUUCACAGGUGGUGCAUGGCUGUCGUCAGCUCGUGUCGUGAGAUGUUGGGUUAAGUCCCGCAACGAGCGCAACCCUUGUUCACUGUUGCCAGCACGUUAUGGUGGGGACUCAGUGGAGACCGCCGGGGUCAACUCGGAGGAAGGUGGGGAUGACGUCAAGUCAUCAUGCCCCUUAUGUCCAGGGCUUCACGCAUGCUACAAUGGCUGGUACAGAGAGUGGCGAGCCUGUGAGGGUGAGCGAAUCUCGGAAAGCCGGUCUCAGUUCGGAUUGGGGUCUGCAACUCGACCUCAUGAAGUCGGAGUCGCUAGUAAUCGCAGAUCAGCAACGCUGCGGUGAAUACGUUCCCGGG
Molecule: ribosomal RNA, 1343 nt
Filed under: uncultured bacterium
Lineage: Bacteria
Description: 16S ribosomal RNA
Rfam family: Bacterial small subunit ribosomal RNA
Source: RNAcentral